RNAcentral lists this unclassified non-coding RNA (4215 nucleotides) under Orussus abietinus. RNAcentral's name for it is "cytosolic carboxypeptidase 4, transcript variant X8". Lineage: Eukaryota; Metazoa; Arthropoda; Insecta; Hymenoptera; Orussidae. The record is from RNAcentral.
UCCGCGAGGCCGGCAUCGCCGAAAGUCCCCGCGGUUUGCAUUCGGCCAUUUGGACGUUUUUCGCGAAAAUUUUUAACCAUUCCGCGAGUUUCCGCGCUCUCUGUGCCUCGAAACGUGGCGGAUCCGCGAGAAGCAGCGCCGACUCGCGUCGAGUUCGCAUUCAAAAAUACGAACUCUUUCGCGCACGUGCUUCGUUGCCAGUGGACGAAUCUCGUCGUGACACCAGCAAGAUGUGACGUCCGUGCCCAGUGUACAAAAGUGCAGCUGGCACGUAUGAAUGUGCACGGGGGACGUGCUCGAGAAGAGGCGGAAGUUUCAUUCCCACCGGAAGUAGAAGAGGCCCGCCGGAAGAAAACAUGAAGCGCGCCAGGCAGCUUGACAAGGAGAACGACCAACCCGAUAAGAUCGGGAAUUUCAACAACGCCGGGGAGGAAAUUAACAUGUCAUUGGAGAACAAAACAGAAGGGGACAUUAUAAACGAGGCGUUGUUUGAAAAACUCGAAAUCUAUGCGCAGGCGCCGCAAGAAAACGUGGAUGCGAUUCGAUCGCAUUUGGUCAAAAUCCACGCACGGAUCACGUCAUCGGAACGACGGAUAAGGGAGUACGCCCAGCAAAUGCUAUGGCGCGAAAAUUCGGACGCUGUGAAGACGUUCCUCAAGAUUCUAGAGAAUUGCAAGGACAACGUUGCAAAUUGUAGCGCGGUCAGCAUUAUCCACGAGUGCAUCUCGCCUCGGACUUCCAAAGUAAAAUGCAAAGGAUUCAAGCACAAGAAUGCGACUAGAAACAAUUGUCGAGCGGCGAUCACCCAGCUGAUUAAUUUUGGAGGUACGCAAGUCAUGAUAAAACUUCUCAACAAUUUGCAACGCAGAGACAUAGGCGUGGUCGAAAUGCUUCUGCAAGAAGUUCUUUACAUUCUGGGGCAAGUAGCUCAGAGGGAUCACAAGUUUGCGACAAAGGUGAAGUCGCUCAACGCCACAAAGUCAUUCCACUCCUUGUUGAAGGAGCACUACAACGAUAGCAGGACUCUUCUCCCAUUGUUGCUGAUCGUCAAGGCCCUUGCCAGGAAUCCGUUUUCUCAGCAGGUAUUGAUCAAAGAUGGGAUUGCUGGUACUUUGGAAAAAACGCUGGUCAGCCUCGGAUAUACCCCGCACCUGAAGAUGAAGACCUUGCUCGAGAGCUUCAAGUAUUUCACGAUAAACAAGCUUUACUGUAUGAAAUUCGUGAAAGCCGGCAUCGUCCACUCGUUGAUGAGGAUUUUCGAAAGGUGGAAUAGAUUCGACGGGCCCAUGAGGCUGAAAAUUUGCAAUUACGCCCUGAACACGAUGCAGCACAUUUGCAUGAUGAAAUCGGGGAGGAAGGCGAUUAAGUCGAACAAUGGGCUGCAAGUGUUGUACAGAUUCUCCACCAGUUGUCCAGAAGACAAGGCUUACGACACUUUGUUGUCACGAGUGUACGCGAUAUUUAAUCAGUGCCUCGAGAAAAAGGAAUUGCCAGUGCCCGAAAUGUCGCCCGCAAGGUUUAUCCUGCCAGUAACAAGUACCAGGAUGAACAGUGCGGACAGUUGCAGUGACAUCGACAGUCAGGUGAACGGUGUCGCUGGGUUGGACAAAUACUACAGCGACGCAGACUCGGAUAUCGACGAGGACGAUGACGACUCGAAGAAUUCAAGAAAACCGCGAGAAACAGACCUCGUUGAUGAAAUCGACGAGAAUAAUUUUUUCUCGGGUGUCAUUACCUCUUUACGAUCGGAAGAAGACCUGAUGGGGUACCACGUCUUCUAUCGAGAAUUAGGUGACAGACAAGCCCAGCUGUCUCUUGGGAGGUCCUUCCUAGAAAGACUUUUCCAGCUACCCGGCACCAUGGAGGACAAUAAACGGUCCUAUCACCAAGCCUUAAACAAAUUAAUAAUGAUCGGAAACAAGUCCUCCAGCAAUGGAGCGAGCGAGAAAAUUUCAGCGACCGACAAUUCCCAGAGAAUUCAUAUUUCGGGAACGCCGAAGGUCUUUGAUAACCUGACCAAGCAAAUGUCCGACAAGCACGUGUACUGUCUUGUUGCCAGUGCUGUCAAGAGUGUCAUCGGUUUUGUCAAGGUGGCUUAUCCAGACCUCGUGGGUGGUCGAGGUUCCGGAAAAUUGGAGCCCUUGAACAGGAAGGACCGAAAAGUCUGUCGCUCCAAAUUGUUGGUCUGCCUUGAUCGAAACCUCCACCCUGACAACUUCACCCAUGUGACCGUCUACGAUUUGGACGAGUUGUCAUCCAGUCCAGGAAAUAAUACAACCCCCAAGCUGCUCUGCAACUGGGACGAGGAAAGGGUUGGUAUGCAAGGGAACGACUCGAAGCAGCUGCAGUUUGAGUCCAGGUUCGAGAGCGGGAAUCUCAGGAAAGCCAUCCAGAUAGGUCUCAGGGAGUACGAGCUGAUCUUAUCGCCGGAUGUGAACAGUGGAUCGCGACAUCAGUGGUUCUACUUCGAGGUCUCCAACAUGGAUGCCAACGUGCCGUACACAUUCGACAUCGUCAACUGUGAGAAAGCGAACUCUCAGUUCAACUUCGGCAUGAAGCCGAUCUUGUUCAGCGUGAAGGAGUCCCAGCUGGGGAGACCAGGAUGGAUCAGGACCGGGGUGGACAUUUGUUACUACAGGAACUGCUAUCAACGUCCAGCAAGAGGGAAGAACUAUCUAACGACUUCGUUCACGAUAAACUUCCCUCACAGCUACGACGUCUGUUACGUUGCCUAUCAUUUCCCCUACACGUAUAGUCAGCUGAUGACUAGCAUUUGGAAGUGGUCCAAAGAGUUAGACUCCAGCAGCAUCCUCUUCAGGGCGGAGCCUUUCUGCACGAGUCUGAACACCAACGAGAGUCCAUUGUUGACCAUCACGGCUCCUGAUUCUAAAAGCAACUCAAUGCACAACCGAAAGAUGAUCUUCCUAACCUCCAGAGUGCACCCUGGAGAGAGCAACUCGUCGUGGAUCAUGCAUGGCACCUUGGAAGCUCUUCUAAGUCCUUCCGAUUAUGCCAGCAGCCUUCGAGAUGACUACAUCUUCAAGGUUGUUCCUAUGCUGAACAUCGAAGGUGUGGUCAACGGCUGCAACCGAUACGGUCUUACCAAUGAGGACCUCAACAGGCGCUGGAGUAAUCCCGACCAAGUGCUUCAUCCUGUAAUAUACCACACCAAAGGGCUGAUGGAGUACUCGACAAAGGUCUUGCAGAGGCCUCUUCACGUGUUCGUGGACUAUCAUGGACAUUCUCGAAGGAAAAAUGUAUUUUUGUUCGGCUGCUCGAAGUCGGGCUCCUGGAGCGCGGCGGACAGGUCCAAGCCGGACCAGCCGAUGCAGUAUUUGAUGCUGCCGCACUUGAUGCAGAAAAUCUCGCCGGCGUUCGCAAUGUCGCUCUGCUCGUUCAAAGUGGAGAGGAAGAAGGAAUCCACGGCCAGAGUCGCGAUUUGGCGCCAGUUGGGAGUCUCGAGCAGAAGUUACACGAUGGAGAGCAGUUUCUGCGGCUGCGACCAGGGUCCUUUGGCAGGAUUCCACCUGGACACGAAACACCUGAAGGAUAUAGGCAUCGAUUUUUGUCAAGCCUUGUCGAUGAUGAAGGACGGGGGUGAAGAGUGGAACGUUGAUAUGUCCGGAGAGGAGUCCUGUUGCCCUCUGAAAUGCAUUUUAGGGAAGUCUAAGAAACCGCCGAAGUGCAUUCAGGACAAAGACGCGAAGUACCAUUUUACGGAAACCUCGUUGUUCCGAAAAGACAUGUAGUUGAAGGCCAAGAACCACCACCAGGGAAGAAUUUUCAGUUGGAGUGGGUGGUGCGAAUGAUGAAGGGUCAUCAAGCGGUUCUGACGAUUCAGUUUCUGAUGAUUAAACUUAAUUAAAACGAAGGCUUUAAUCGUUAUAUCCUACGGAGCUUAUUUCGUGCGGCUCAUUCGUUGACUCGAGUACUGUUCUAGAUUAUUUUCAUAAAACGAUCCCCCAGUUUUUGUCUCCUCGAAUUAAUCACCUGCACCUCGGCGUAAAUUGGGCCGUACUUGGAGUGAUAAAAAUCUGCACAACUAAUUAAUGUGAGAGCCUGAUUAGAAAUCCUGGGCAGGGCAAAAGGUACAGAAAUACCCUGAUGCAUAUUAAACAAUUAAAAAAAAAAGCAUAGAUGUAAAGUGACUCAGGUAAGAAGAAUUAAUGUACCGGUACAAACUUCAGAAAAUAUAUCUUUGUGGAUAAACUUGAA